AGAGUUUGAUCCUGGCUCAGGAUGAGCGCUAGCGGCAGGCCUAACACAUGCAAGCCGAGGGGUAAGGCCCUUUCGGGGGUACACGACCGGCGGACGGGUGAGUAACGCGUAUGCAACCUGCCCUUUACCGGGGGAUAGCCCAGAGAAAUUUGGAUUAAUACCCUAUAUCCCUUUUGCCGGCAUCGGCAGGAGGCAAAAAUUUUAAUGGUAAAGGAUGGGCAUGCGUGCCAUUAGCUAGUUGGUAGGGUAACGGCUUACCAAGGCCACGAUGGCUAUGGGGUCUAAAAGGAUGGUCCCACACACUGGUACUGAGACACGGACCAGACUCCUACGGGAGGCAGCAGUGAGGAAUAUUGGUCAAUGGGUGAGAGCCUGAACCAGCCAUGCCGCGUGCAGGAUGACUGCCCUACGGGUUGUAAACUGCUUUUGUACGGGAAGAACAUGCCCCACUUGUGGGGCCCUGACGGUACCGUACGAAUAAGCAUCGGCUAACUCCGUGCCAGCAGCCGCGGUAAUACGGAGGAUGCGAGCGUUAUCCGGAUUUAUUAGGUUUAAAGGGUGCGUAGGCGGGCGCUUAAGUCAGUGGUGAAAUCCCGGGGCUCAACUCCGGAACUGCCAUUGAUACUGGGCACCUUGAGUACAGUUGAGGUGGGCGGAAUGUGUCAUGUAGCGGUGAAAUGCAUAGAUAUGACACAGAACACCGAUUGCGUAGGCAGCUCACUAAACUGUCACUGACGCUGAUGCACGAAAGCGUGGGGAGCGAACAGGAUUAGAUACCCUGGUAGUCCACGCUGUAAACGAUGAUCACUGGCUGUGUGCGAUACACCGUACGUGGCUGAGCGAAAGCAUUAAGUGAUCCACCUGGGGAGUACGUCGGCAACGAUGAAACUCAAAGGAAUUGACGGGGGCCCGCACAAGCGGAGGAACAUGUGGUUUAAUUCGAUGAUACGCGAGGAACCUUACCUGGGCUUAAAUGGUGGACGGCCGGGGCAGAAACGCCCCUUCCCUUCGGGGCGUCCUCCAAGGUGCUGCAUGGCUGUCGUCAGCUCGUGCCGUGAGGUGUCGGGUUAAGUCCCAUAACGAGCGCAACCCCUAUUGUUAGUUGCCAGCAGGUAAAGCUGGGGACUCUAACGAGACUGCCACCGUAAGGUGUGAGGAAGGUGGGGAUGACGUCAAGUCAGCACGGCCCUUAUGUCCAGGGCUACACACGUGUUACAAUGGCCGGCACAGAGGGCAGCUACCUGGUGACAGGGUGCAAAUCUCGAAAGCCGGUCACAGUUCGGAUCGGAGUCUGCAACUCGACUCCGUGAAGUUGGAUUCGCUAGUAAUCGCGUAUCAGCAACGACGCGGUGAAUACGUUCCCGGGCCUUGUACACACCGCCCGUCAAGCCAUGGGAGCCGGGGGUACCUGAAGUCCGUAACCGCAAGGAUCGGCCUAGGGUAAAACUGGUGACUGGGGCUAAGUCGGAACAAGGUA
This 1477-nucleotide ribosomal RNA is filed under the name metagenome. RNAcentral's name for it is "bacterial SSU rRNA". It matches the Rfam family "Bacterial small subunit ribosomal RNA". The record is from RNAcentral.